AUGUUUCAAAGGUUAUUCAUUGCCAUAAAUAUAAACAACAAUUGUACACCCAGAAUAUUCCCUGGCUGACAUUAUGUAUUGCUGGUGGUAUUAUAGUAUCCAAAGUUCAGCUGGCUGCCCAACCCAGAAGGUGAAAGAGCGAUAUGCUAUCUCAGAGGUGCACAAACACAUUUUCUCAAGCAAUCUUCAAGAACAGACCAUGAAAAUGUUUCAGGGAUUUGAUGUCCUGAAGUUUGAGUGGUGAUUCUAGCCAUAACAAGGUUCAACGAGUCUCUCUGAGGAGGGAGAGCAGUGGGCACUGCCUCUAAGAUGAGUCUCUCUGAGGAGGGAGAGCAGCGGGGCACUGCCUCUAAGAUGAGUCUCUCUGAGGAGGGAGAGCAGUGGGGCACUGCCUCUAAGAUGAGUCUCUCUGAGGAGGGAGAGCAGUGGGCCACUGCCUCUAAGAUGAGUCUCUCUGAGGAGGGAGAGCAGUGGGCACUGCCUCUAAGAUGAGUCUCUCUGAGGAGGGAGAGCAGCGGGGCACUGCCUCUAAGAUGAGUCUCUCUGAGGAGGGAGAGCAGUGGGGCACUGCCUCUAAGAUGAGUCUCUCUGAGGAGGGAGAGCAGUGGGCCACUGCCUCUAAGAUGAGUCUCUGGAGAACAUGACUCCAACUCAAAAGCUGAAAGACACCAACAGAACAGACCAAAGUCAGAGAUUCCUAAGUGGUCAGUCUGCCCAGAGUCAUCAACAAGACCUGCCCGCUAUACUAAAAGUGAGAUGUUUUACAUUGGUCUCGAUUACCCCAGUAAAGAAACUUGAUAUAAAAGCAUAGUUUUACAAUAUGCUGAAAUUAAAUUGGUAUUCUUUUGA
Molecule: long non-coding RNA, 849 nt
Organism: Oncorhynchus masou masou (cherry salmon)
Lineage: Eukaryota; Metazoa; Chordata; Actinopteri; Salmoniformes; Salmonidae
Exons: 3
Source: RefSeq, a predicted model, not a curated record